UUUUUUUUUUAAUGCGAUGCGGUUACUGCUUGAUUGCUUGCUUGUAGUUCUCAGUUGAAAAUUUUCUCAUUCUGUUAAUUGUUUGGAAGAUAUGGAUGAGUGAGUGAUUUAUUGCCCAUUGGUUGAAUUGGAUGGUUGUGUGACUGGCCUGUUUAGUGUCUUCCUUGAUGUGAGGGGAAUUGUGAUUAUGAGGAUUACUCAGCUUGCCGUCUAAUUUGUAGAAAUUUGUACAUGGUUUUGUGUUCACUGCCUUUCUUGCUUGUAUCUCUAGUUUGUGGAUAAUGAAGUAGAAAAUGAGCUGUAAUGAUGAUGAAAAUGGGCUUUUAGUUUGGUUGAUGCAUUUGGUUUCUGUUGUGAUUUAAGGCGUUUCGAGU
RNAcentral lists this long non-coding RNA (374 nucleotides) under Salvia miltiorrhiza (redroot sage). RNAcentral's name for it is "long non-coding RNA (SMIL_LNC011961)". The record is from RNAcentral. Lineage: Eukaryota; Viridiplantae; Streptophyta; Magnoliopsida; Lamiales; Lamiaceae.